Molecule: non-coding RNA, 1633 nt
Organism: Ictidomys tridecemlineatus (thirteen-lined ground squirrel)
Lineage: Eukaryota; Metazoa; Chordata; Mammalia; Rodentia; Sciuridae
Source: RefSeq, a predicted model, not a curated record
CCAGAGCUAAAAAGUCAUAAAUCACAUAUAGAGAGGCACAUCUUCUCAGAGAAACUGGUCUCGCUCUACUACACACGGAUAUCAAAUACAGAUGAGAAUCAUAUUCAGAUGAAAAUAAGAAUUCACCCCAACAUGUGAAAAAUGUUAGCUGCUGAUCAGUGGGCAUGACAUGAUUCAAGACUCCCUGAAAACUGGGAAAUCGUGCCUGGCGUGGGUCCCUGCAGUACCGGAAGCCCAGAGACCACGAAGCACACCGUUCAAGGUGCUCCAAAUGAGCUCUUUGCUUUGACAUGGAUUCCGCCAAGUGUGCAAGUUUCUUAUUUCUGCUGCUUCAUGUUUAGCCAUUUUCCUGAAAACUUAAGAUUCCAGCCUUUCCCACUGGACCAGGAAGAGGCAGGGAGAAAAUACUCUCAGAAUUGUGCAGGAACAGAGGGACCAUCUGCUUCCAUGGACAGUCUGGCUCCUUCCUGGGACAACUGAUGAACGACAGGUGUAGACUAUUACUUCAGGUUACCAUGUUCUGUUAAGGUGCCUGCGGACCCCUGUACUGUGGAUAUAUAAGAAAACACCACUGUUGUCAGGAAGUACACACUUAACUAGUGAGGAUGACUAUUUAGCAAUAUCAUGAUUCACUAUUUAUUUAUUUAUUUGCAGCAGGUCUCACUGAGUUGCUUAGGGCCUCCCUAAAUUGCUGAGGCUGGCUUUCAAGUCAUGAUCCUCCUGCCUCAGCCUCCCAAGCCACUGGGAUUAUUGGCCUGUACCUCCACACCUGGCUCAUAAUUUAUUCUUGAAUGAUCCAAUAAUUUAUUCUUGAAUGAUCCAAAAGAAAUUUAGAGCUGGGCAGAAUUCCUUUGUCCUGCUCUUAGACCUUUUAUAUUUAUUUAAAAUCACACAAGUAUUUGUAAAUGCGUAGGAACGAAUGAAGGAAAAAGCUAUACUUAAUCAAAUCAAAGAUGCAAUUGAUUCUAAAAUAGGUCAUACAUCUUUGAUGUCCCACAAUGAAGGAAAAAUACAGUUAUUAAAAAUAUGGCAUAAUACUUUCCUAUUGAUUUAGAAUGUCUCUUCUUAGGCUUUGAGAGAACUCUUUUAGAUUUGUCAUGAGGAGGUUUUAUUACACAUCCCUCUUCUGCAGGUAUAAAAACAAAUAGAUAAGGGAAAAAAAGAGGCUAAAGUAUUCUUGCAACUUCUUCACUUUCUGGUUUCAGUGUUUCAGAAUCUCUUUUGGGUUUAGAAUCGUAUCUGUGCAGUACCAUCCUCCAAGCCAUCAAGCAUGUAGGUGAUACAGCAGCUUUUCUAAAGAAUGCUCCAUGAGACAGGACUCUCCCUCUGCAGUCAUUUAAUUGGGCGGACAGGAGCAUCCACUAAGUGUGCACACGCUCAGGAACGUCAGCAACCACACAAUGGCUGCCGGCCUGGAAAAAGGAGAUGCGUAACACCACAGAUGUGAUUUCAGAGGUUCACAAUAAAACGUGCAUUUGAAAUGUGACAUUGUAAAGUUAACAGGGCUGGGCUUGUGGAAACUGUUUCUUUCACUCCAAUGUUGUGCCAGUAAGACAAGAUCAUUUGUUGGCAUUAGGUCUGAAAUUGAAGAGAAAAAAAAAAAAAAAGAAUCCACCUGAUCCGCAGAAAAUAG